GUCAUACUCACACCCACGGCACCAAAUGCGCUAAACCACUGAUGUAUUGCUGUCCCGUGUAACUACUGCAGUGAGACAGCAAUUUCUGUGGAUCAAUUGAUGGUGUAAGGAGGGGAGGACGGAGGGUAUUAUCCCGUCUUGGACUCGGGUGGACUGCCGGUUAUGCGGGGCCAGACGCGCAGUUCACGGCUGUCGGAUCCGGAUCUCACAAGUGACCUGCUUGGGACCCCAGCCUAUGGACUCCAGAGAAGUUUAUCCAGCCCUGAGCACAGGGCUUCGCUUUAGCCCAGCUGCAUGUGGAAGGACAGCGGAUGUGUCUUGUGCACAGCGCGCUGGGCUGUGAUGAAGGGCUUCCACCAUCUAUCUGCCAUUACACCUGUUAACCAUGUAUCGUACAGCGUGCUGGAGAAGCAUGACAUGCUCUAUAUAUACAUCCAGCAUGGGGGGGGGGGUUGAAGCUUAGGAAGGAGGUUUAAUCUUAGACAGGGGGACACAUUCUGCUCAGUGGGCCUAUCGCUGUCACCAGCACUGUAGAGCAAGCAUGAGGACAAGGCAUUAUGGGUAAUAUGACAUAUGAAGUUAGAUGCUGACUGCGGCGUGCUCAAAGACACCAGAUAAAAAGAGUUACAUAAAUUCCAAGUUAUUAGCGCUAACGUUGCAUUUUUUUAUUCAGUUGUUUUGAUGCCGGGGAUUGAAUAUUAGAACAUCUUUUUUUUUUCGUAAACGAGGGGUGGAGAGAGCCGGUGAGGGCUACAUCUGAGGCUGCAUCGUUAGAGAGACUGACACGGGAGAGACCUGCUCUCGGCUGCGGAAAGCGGCGCUCGCGAUCCGCGUGGGAGCACAACACAGUUCGCGAGGCACGUGAGACGUCGGCUGAGGAGCCUCCCGCGGUCCCAGCUCCACAAAGGCAGAGAACAAAGUUAGCAGAUCGUGCCGAUUGUUUACAGGAGCGCGGCUUCUGAAAACGCCGUGAGACGUUCGUUGAGUGGAAAAAAGGAAUUCUCUCGACAUCCAUUUAGCUCUGUUUUCACGUUCGGCAGUUGAGCAGUAUGAUCCUACAGCUAAGCCCUGCUGCUUCUGGUCUGGUGACAUAUAACCCUCCAGAUUCAGCUGUUUACAGGUAGGAAGACAUGGAUAGCUGCAGCCCCUGACCCAACCCCUGUAGGUUUCCUGUUCCUCUGCGUUGAGGGGAGCAGCAUGCUUUGCAGUAUCUGCCAUGGAGCCCUGGCAGAGACUCAAACCCUUGUGCCAGAAGUUUGAGGCAACAGUGCAAACCACUGUGUCACCAUGCUGCCCAAGUGAAAUAUCCUUCUGUCUAAAAUGGGUGCAUUGUUAGGUGCUCAUGAUGAAAGCAACAGGAUAGUAAAUGUUUGGUCCAACUGCUUCUCCUGGUCAGGAUUGCAGAGGGGUCUGGAGCCCAUCACCACCUGGGCUGCACCAUGGACAGGAAGCUGGAUGAAUAAUAGUCAACAUAUCUAAUAUUUUUGGCGAUUUUUGAUAAUCAUAGUAUUGAAAUGGAUGGUGCAAUGGGUGAUACUGUUGGGUCCCACCCAUUCAAAGCAGUGGGGGUGGAGUUUGCAGGUUCUCAUCUCUGGCUGCUCUGAUUUCUUCCAUCAGUUCAAACACAUGCAGUUUAUUGAACUGGAAUCUCUAAAUUGUGAAUAUUGUGUGUGCAGCCUGUGAAUGACUGGCACCAUUGGCAAAGAGCCCCAUACCUCCUGGGACAGAUUCCAGACUCCCCAUGACCCUGUACUGGAAAGUUAGAGUAGGAGACCAAUGGAUGGAUUAUGUUUUAUUGCUCUUAAAUACGGGAGGAUUUCAGUAAAAAUGACGUGUCUAGCUCUGCACCCGUCCCUGUGGUAAUAAUAUCCAAGGAUGGCCCAUUCACAGGUUCUGGAGCCUGAUUCUGGUGGCCGCCGAGGCUACAGCGUACAGGAAGGGAUGUUUGUUAACAAUUUCACUGCAUGUUCUCAGUGGGCUACAGAAACGCAAGGUCAACCGGAAAAAAAAAAAUAUCAUGCUACAGAUGUAAGUAAUUUAGGAAGCAGACCUCCCGGGCAGCAGCCGACCCAGACCAGCUCGCGGUUCCGAAUGACGUGGCCGAAGAUCCGACGGGUGGCCAGGGGAGUCGAGGCCCGGACGCCUCAGCCACGGAGCCAGGGGACGGACAACAUGAAAAGCAGCAGUUUUUGCCGUCUGCACUGACUGCUCUGCGGCACAUACGGCUGAGAUGAAGACAAGCAGGGUACCGACCCAACAACCCGCUGAUGUUAGUCCUGGAUAAUGAAAGUGCAGAAGUUCAAGUCGACCCCGUAAGCUGCAGACAGCCGGUAUGGCAGGAGGAUGGGCUGCUGGCUCUCUCAGUCCCUGUACUGGAUAAGGAGUUAUGGAGGAUGGACAGGUGGAUGGAUGGAUGGAUGGAUGGAUGAAUUAGUUAACAGUGCAUGGGAGUUUUACUUACACAAACAUUUUCUGAGGGCAGAAUGAAAAAUGAUUGGUUCAGAGAGGUAACCAAUCAGAUUGUGGAGGAGGUGGAAUGUAACAAUCAGAUGUCUUGGUACCACCUCCUCAAUUUGCAUGGACCCACCUCCUCUACAGUCUGAUUGGUUACCUCUCUGAACCAAUCAUUUCCCAUUAUCCCCUCAGAACAUAUGUGUAUGUUCUGAGGUAAAACUCCCAUGAGCUAAUUAACAUUGCUAUGAUGGUGCACUGCUACCUUAAAAAAAGUAAUGCAAAAGUCAUUCUAAGCAAAGUAUGUUAAACCAAAGUAUGUUCACACAAACAGGGAAUCUCCAUUUGCCUAUGACUCUCAUACAUGCAGUAGAUACACAGUUAAGACAAGACAAUGGUCACAUUCAGUCCAUUUGAUAAAUAUACAAUGAGCAUGUUAUUGUAUUGUGUAUGUGAUUGAUAAAUGUACAAAAAGUGCAGGAGUCCAUUUUAGUGUAAGGAAUGAUGGAAUAAAUACAAUUUGUGCAAAAAA
Molecule: long non-coding RNA, 2983 nt
Organism: Paramormyrops kingsleyae
Lineage: Eukaryota; Metazoa; Chordata; Actinopteri; Osteoglossiformes; Mormyridae
Source: RefSeq, a predicted model, not a curated record